This is a long non-coding RNA of Labeo rohita (rohu), 306 nucleotides long. RefSeq lists it as uncharacterized. The transcript has 3 exons. The record is from RefSeq and is a predicted model, not a curated record. Lineage: Eukaryota; Metazoa; Chordata; Actinopteri; Cypriniformes; Cyprinidae.
AGACUUGAUGUCGCCAUUUUAAACAGACAUAAUCGAUGAUUUACAACACAAAGUACCUUUAAAUCUUUAUUGAGAUUUAUAUAUGCUUAGGCAGGAUUUGUGUGUAUCUACCUGAUGGAAAUGUGAAUCGAGUCAGUGGAGAUCAAACUGAUCAGAUCCAUCAUGGAUGAAACACAAACAUCAGGAGAUGAAGAUUUUUCUACAGGAUACAGAUCAGUUCAUCAGAAGAGAUCAUAUCCAGAGUCCAGCUGUGUGUCUGUGAAGAGUGACGUGUCUAUGGAUCGACCAAUAACGUUUAACAGUGGA